This 1149-nucleotide long non-coding RNA is filed under the name Mytilus galloprovincialis (Mediterranean mussel). The record is from RNAcentral. Lineage: Eukaryota; Metazoa; Mollusca; Bivalvia; Mytilida; Mytilidae.
ACUUUAUGAACUAUCCAACAGUUGAAUUUGGUGCUUUGUAGAGCAGUAACAUUUUUGCUUCAAAAACAAAACAUUGUUUUCUGUAUGUGUGUAAUUUGCUUAAUGCAAAAAUAGAAUUGUUCCUUCAAUUGAAUGUAACAAGGAGUUGGAAAUAAAGAAUCAUAGUUAAAUGAUGAAUUGAGAAUAGAAAUCGGAAAUAUGUCAUAGAGACAACAACCCGACCAAAGAGCAGACACAAGCCGACGGCCUACAAUGGUUCUUCAACGCAGCGAGAAAAUCCCUCGGGCCAAGUCUUUCUUCUGAAAUACGAAAUCAAGAUGUCAGUAUCUUAUCAAAAGGAAAAUCCUGUUCACUCCUUUUAUGUUCAUACUUCCUUGAAUGUGUCCAACAGAUAACAACAAUCUCGAAGAUAUGAAGAGGGUUCACUUCUUAUAUUCAAGAUAAUAUGUUCCGCUUGAAUAUGCCAUUUUUUCAAGCUUGAAAAAAUGUAAACUAUCAGAAAUAUAUGAUUAGGUCACAAAGGGUUCCUACAUCUUGUCUGUCAUCUUUCUUGAUGUUCCCGACUGUGAUUUAUCAACCAAUUUUCUCUCUUUUGUCCCUUUAAUAUUCCACUGUUACAUUACUCACGAAGCGAAACCCCAAAAAUGUGAGAAAAAGGUAACAUAUUUAUCUUUGCAAUAUAUGAGAAGGUAUACAUUUUUAAAAUCUAAAUUAUAUGAAAAGGUAGGGAUAUAGAAACCCAGUAGUAUCCCUAUCAAUUAAGUAUUACAGUGGUAAAUCGAGUAUUAGUUAACGUAUGCGGUUUUUUUAAAAUACUUAAGCAGAAGUAUUUGGAUUUAAUCAAAAUAUCAACAACGACGGGGGCUCGAACGAAACUUCACAUAUACAGUUAUACAAUGAUUAAAAAUUAUUACAAGUGUAAGAUACUAAUAUAUAUUGUAUGGACAGUUUGAAUAAAAGUAUUUGGACCCCAAAAACCAUUUGUUACAAAUUCAUUUAGAUAUUGUACUAGAAUUCGACGGAGGAGGUUUUGUAAAAAAGACCUCUUCUGAAAACUUGCAACUCUUCAUUUUCUUUUCAAGGAUUUUCAAUUUAAUGAAGUAAUUAUCUGAAUAGUAUGUUGUUCAUGUCUUAUAAAUAUUCCGGGCC